CUGGCCGGGGAGGAGGGGCGGCGGCGAAUGCUGGGAGAGUCCGACGAGCGCUGCACUAACGCAGGAUCCGGCUGCCGAAGGUCCUCGCCAGCAGGAUGAAGUUAAAGGAAGUAGAUCGUACAGCCAUGCAGGCAUGGAGCCCUGCCCAGAAUCACCCCAUUUACCUAGCAACAGGAACAUCUGCUCAGCAAUUGGAUGCAACAUUUAGUACGAAUGCUUCCCUUGAGAUAUUUGAAUUAGACCUCUCUGAUCCAUCCUUGGAUAUGAAAUCUUGUGCCACAUUCUCCUCUUCUCACAGGUACCACAAGUUGAUUUGGGGGCCUUAUAAAAUGGAUUCCAAAGGAGAUGUCUCUGGAGUUCUGAUUGCAGGAGAAUCGCUUGAACCCGGGAGGCGGAGAUCGCAGUGAGUUGAGAUCGUGCCAUUGCACUCCAGCCUGGGCAACGAGCAAAACUCAAAAAAAGAAAAAAGAAAUGUAAUGCAGAUUUAACAAAUAGUCAAUUAAGAUUCUUUGUACUGUUGCCUUCAUAAACAUUUCUGGUUGUUAAUUAUAUAAAUGCACAGCUUAAUAACGAUCUUAGCCUGAACAGGAUGGUGAAACCCUGUCAUUACAAAAAAUGCAAACAAUUAGCAGAACAUGGUGGCACACGCCUGUAGUCUCAGCUACACGGGAGGCUGAGGUAG
This 682-nucleotide long non-coding RNA is filed under the name Homo sapiens (human). RNAcentral describes it as "non-protein coding THAP9-AS1:21". Lineage: Eukaryota; Metazoa; Chordata; Mammalia; Primates; Hominidae. The record is from RNAcentral.